CUGAUCCAGCCUGACGUGGGCUGUCACGCAUCCCAUUUCAGACUGUGGUCCAGAAAGUCCUCCUGGGAUUUACUGCAGGGCAAGAGGAUGAAGAAGAGGAAGAGAGGAAGAGUCACCAUGAUGGUGACAGCUGUUCUGGUAGAAACUGGCUGGAAAUAUCAAUUAUGCACAUAUUGCACACAGCAAACAGAAAAUACGCAUUGCCAAGUUCAUGAGUUUUAGUGAUGAUUUCAGUCAUCUGUAGUCACAGUGAUGGAGAAGCUCGUGUGAGAAGCAGGCACAUUCAGAAAACUCAAAUUAUUCCCCUGUUUGUAUACGUGCAUCAAAAGUCUAAGACCUUGCUGCAAAAUAUGAGGACAUCAAAUUGCUUUUUUACUAUCAUAUAACCCUCAUCUUCUAACCAUCUGGGAAGAAUUCAGCCACCUCAAAACCCAUUGGGAGCUGUACCAAAUAAAGCAGAACAUAAAUAAAUCCUUUUACUUUGC
This 485-nucleotide long non-coding RNA is filed under the name Gallus gallus (chicken). Lineage: Eukaryota; Metazoa; Chordata; Aves; Galliformes; Phasianidae. The record is from RNAcentral.